Molecule: ribosomal RNA, 484 nt
Filed under: Serratia sp. Ag2
Lineage: Bacteria; Pseudomonadati; Pseudomonadota; Gammaproteobacteria; Enterobacterales; Yersiniaceae
Description: bacterial SSU rRNA
Rfam family: Bacterial small subunit ribosomal RNA
Source: RNAcentral
UUUAAUUGAAGAGUUUGAUCAUGGCUCAGAUUGAACGCUGGCGGCAGGCCUAACACAUGCAAGUCGAGCGGCAGCGGAAAGUAGCUUGCUACUUUGCCGGCGAGCGGCGGACGGGUGAGUAAUGUCUGGGAAACUGCCCGAUGGAGGGGGAUAACUACUGGAAACGGUGGCUAAUACCGCAUAACGUCUUCGGACCAAAGUGGGGGACCUUAGGGCCUCACACCAUCGGAUGUGCCCAGAUGGGAUUAGCUAGUAGGUGAGGUAAUGGCUCACCUAGGCGACGAUCCCUAGCUGGUCUGAGAGGAUGACCAGCCACACUGGGACUGAGACACGGCCCAGACUCCUACGGGAGGCAGCAGUGGGGAAUAUUGCACAAUGGGCGCAAGCCUGAUGCAGCCAUGCCGCGUGUGUGAAGAAGGCCUUAGGGUUGUAAAGCACUUUCAGUAGGGAGGAAGGCAACACGUUUAAUACAUGUGUUGAUUGA